GACGAACGCUGGCGGCAGGCUUAACACAUGCAAGUCGAACGGGAAGCAGGACUUCGGUUCUGUGGAGAGUGGCGCACGGGUGAGUAACGCGUGGGUAUCUGCCUUGAAGUGGGGGACAACCGCUGGAAACGGCGGCUAAUACCGCAUACGCCCUUCGGGGAAAGCUUUAUGCGCUUCGAGAUGAACCCGCGUUGGAUUAGCUUGUUGGUGAGGUAACGGCUCACCAAGGCAUCGAUCCAUAGCUGGUCUGAGAGGAUGAUCAGCCACACUGGGACUGAGACACGGCCCAG
Molecule: ribosomal RNA, 290 nt
Filed under: uncultured bacterium
Lineage: Bacteria
Description: partial 16S ribosomal RNA
Rfam family: Bacterial small subunit ribosomal RNA
Source: RNAcentral